RNAcentral lists this long non-coding RNA (1735 nucleotides) under Equus caballus (horse). RNAcentral describes it as "lncRNA (ENSECAG00000043964.1)". Lineage: Eukaryota; Metazoa; Chordata; Mammalia; Perissodactyla; Equidae. The record is from RNAcentral.
CUGCCCAUGGAUCCUGUCCCCAUGCUAUUCCACACUAUUCUCUAAAUAAAAGAACACUACUGCCAGACCUUGAGAGUCCAAGAAAUCUUUCUUUCGACUCCUCGGCUCACCAACCCCGCAUCGGUAUUGCCAAAAUUAAUUUGUAAAGAGCUCUAUUUAAUUGGCUUAAAGGCAAACAAGAGUUUAUAUAAAUCAAGUGUACUCUCAAAAAUAUAGAAACUAACCCAAAUGUUUUUCAAGUUCAUGUGAUCUAGAAUAAUCUUCAGUAAAUAAAAGCUAGUUUAAGUUUUUUGGUUUAAUUAAAACAGGCAUGUCUUGAGAGUUAUCAGCAUUAAAUAUAAAACUUUUAUUCUACCUAGGUUUAGCAAAAGUCAAAUAAGCUCAUGUUCUCUCUGUUACAGAAUUUGUCAGCAAGAAAGAUAACUUAAGAUGAUGAUUAGCUGUGUAAUAUCUUGUGAAGUUUUAAUGACUAAUCUAAGCAUAAUUUUUAAGAAGCAAACGAAUUAAAUAAAUGUAAUAAGAUAAAAGUUUAUAAGUGAACUUUUCAACAAUAAUUAUUCUUUAUAGUAUAUCUAUUUAAAAAUAGUUUCCAAAAUCUUUUUUGGUAACUUGAAACCUUAAAGUUAUACUGAAAUAUGUUAAAUAAUGGGUAUUAAUUGAACGUCUAGAUCAUUUCCAAAUGAAAUAAAAUACUGAAACAUUAAUUACUGAACAUAGGUUUAUCCACUUUUGGCUUCCUUUUACAAAGUAACUAAAGAUAUUGUGGUCUAUUAGCAAGGAAUGUGUCACAAUGUUUUGUGCCACAUUGAAAAAUUCAUUGUGAGGAAGAUAAACUUCCAGAAAUUAUGAAAUGUGUUUACAAAUUUGCCAACUCACAGAAUGCUUGUGUAAUAGUCCACAAUUGCUUACUUCUUAGUUAUCACUAGGAAUAAAGGAUUCUAAGGGCUAAGAAUUCUAAUAAAUACGUUUAAUUAAAACUAUUUAGAAAUAACAAGAGUGGAAGAAAACAAUGCAUAUGAAAAGUAGGUAAGGAAAGCAAAAUGACUGAUUGUUCCAGAACGAGAAAGAGGAAACAGCAUAGGAUAAAAUCUGAAUGGAUAUCAAAAGCUAUAGGUUUGUAGAAAAGGAAUCUUGGGAAAGAAAUUUUAUGUGUUCGGCAUGGAUUUAUUUAAGUUUUUUAACAAUGAAUUUUAAUAUCAAAAGUGCACUGGUGCAAAACUAGAAUUUGUCUACAGUCCCUUAAGUUUUACUCACCUCCAUGGCUGUCAACUUUCUAGUCCUGAGCCACAGACAAAAAUUGGAAUUGCCAGGAGGCAUCCAUGAUUUAAAAAGUUCACUUCCUUCAGCAGAUCUCUACUCCCCUGGCUAGGAGUAAGUGCAAAUGAGGCUAUGUUCAGGGAGCUCUCCUUAACUCUUGAAGAUAUUGCAAUCCAGUCUAAAUUAGAUGAUGCUUGAUUCAAAUCAAUUUUUGCUCAAAUAAACUAAAAAAUGUUAAUGUGCCUCAGUUUAUCUUUUAACAAAUAUCUUUGCCUUCCCUGACCACUCAAUUUAAAUUAAAGUAUAGCUUCCUGAACUCUGUAUUAUCUCAUUAGAUACAGCAUAGUAUCUUCGCAAUUUAGCUAUGAAAAAUUUGUCUAUAUUAGCCCACAGCUGAUUAACCAAAACAAAACAAACGACACAAAAACAAACUCUUAGAAGCAGACAACAGAUUAGUGAUUAUCAGAGGGGAAGGAUG